AAGCUGUAGACUUGUUUACGGGACAGACCCCCCCCCAGCCC
Molecule: transfer RNA, 41 nt
Filed under: Cyrtodactylus phuquocensis
Lineage: Eukaryota; Metazoa; Chordata; Lepidosauria; Squamata; Gekkonidae
Description: tRNA-Tyr
Source: RNAcentral